This is a long non-coding RNA of Lolium rigidum, 1192 nucleotides long. RefSeq lists it as uncharacterized. The transcript has 3 exons. The record is from RefSeq and is a predicted model, not a curated record. Lineage: Eukaryota; Viridiplantae; Streptophyta; Magnoliopsida; Poales; Poaceae.
GGCCAUGAGAUUGGGUCUAAUGGUAUGGAUGGAAAAUCUGGAUUUAUUUCAUAAAUUCGAAGGGAAGAGCAGUAGCUUCUUUGAACACAUUUUCCCAUAAUGCAAACAUAAUGUCACAUCCAAUUUGGAUGAUGAGACUAUAACCUACUCGUGUUCCACAUGUGAUCGAGGUUGAGAAGCCAACUUUGCAAAUGUAUGGUCUUCUAAAAGGGUUUUUGGGCGCUUGUUUAUGUCAACUAUGUGGAUGCUGCUAUUUUCUGACUAAACGAGCAAGGUAACCAAGCUGAGAGAGACAUGUUGAUUUGGACUUGCCCCAAUUGUAGGGAUUUUUGGAUUUUCUCUUCAUAUGUUAUUCAAAAGUCGAGCUGAGUGAAGUGUACCAUUGCACUUGUGUGUAUGUGUUUACCAUGCUGAAGUGGGUAAAUGAAUUUUAAUUGGCAUACAAAUUUCAUUUUAAAUGUCCUCACGUUAUGCUCAGGGACAAAAUAGAAGAUUUAUUGAAGAGACAAUUAAGGUGUUUGAGCUGAGGAGAUUCCCACUGAUUUGGACUUGCAGGAGUGUGCCUCAGAUGGGUUGACUAUGAUAUCCACGUUUGCUUCGCAGCUAGCUGUGUUACAGUUCAAAAAUGACUAUGCGUCGGCAUGUUAGGUGCUACAUUGUUUUCCCCAUUCUGAAUAUUCCACUUUUCUCAAACUGUGUUAUAUGCAAUCAAAAUAUUUUGUUCAUGCCAUGUCAUUGUUUCGCAUUUCACUUUUGCUUAUCACCCGUUGAGAUGGAGGAUAGUGUAGCUGGGUAGGAGGAGCAAUGGAUAGCCAAAAAAUAUCGCUUCAAGUGAAAUGAGCAGUCCUUUGUAUUUCAGCCAUUGUGUUAUUUCCUUCCGCCCAGUCUGUUUCACCUUUUAGGUGCCUCAUAUUUAUUUGCAGUCACUGCUAAGAAGGCAGCAGUUUAAACUGAAGCAGUGAACAAGGUAAGAUUUAGGCUUUGGUUCAGGUUUGCGCUACUACCCCAUGUUCCAAAAUAAGUAUCACAACUUCUUCUAGAUACAUCGACACUUAUUUUGGAAUGGAGGGAAUAAAUUGGAAACCACCCGGUUCUUAUUAUCAAUGGAUGAAUCUACUUCGGUGUACAGCACAGAUUGUGGAGGUCUAUAUUCAAGUUGUUAUCCAUGGUCUAAGAAAAUUUACAUGUAAUU